This 1341-nucleotide ribosomal RNA is filed under the name uncultured bacterium. Its description in RNAcentral is "bacterial SSU rRNA". It matches the Rfam family "Bacterial small subunit ribosomal RNA", at positions 28 to 1381 of the family's 1533-position model. The record is from RNAcentral.
GAUGAACGCUGGCGGCGUGCCUAACACAUGCAAGUCGAGCGGGGUUUUAUUAGAGCUUGCUUUAAUAAAACCAAGCGGCGGACGGGUGAGUAACGCGUGGGUAACCUGCCCUAUACACAGGGAUAACAUUAAGAAAUUGAUGCUAAUACCAGAUAAGCUAACAGCUAGGCAUCUAGUAGUUAGAAAAACUGAGGUGGUAUAGGAGGGGCCCGCGUCUGAUUAGCUAGUUGGUGGGGUAAAGGCCUACCAAGGCGACGAUCAGUAGCCGACCUGAGAGGGUGAUCGGCCACAUUGGAACUGAGACACGGUCCAAACUCCUACGGGAGGCAGCAGUGGGGAAUAUUGCACAAUGGGGGAAACCCUGAUGCAGCAACGCCGCGUGAAGGAAGAAGUAUUUCGGUAUGUAAACUUCUAUCGAUAGGGAAGAAAGAAAUGACGGUACCUAAAUAAGAAGCACCGGCUAAAUACGUGCCAGCAGCCGCGGUAAUACGUAUGGUGCAAGCGUUAUCCGGAUUUACUGGGUGUAAAGGGUGAGUAGGCGGUUAAGCAAGUCAUAUGUGAAAUUUUGGGGCUCAACCUCAGAGCUGCAUAAGAAACUGUUUGACUAGAGUACAGGAGAGGUAAGCGGAAUUCCUAGUGUAGCGGUGAAAUGCGUAGAUAUUAGGAAGAACACCGGUGGCGAAGGCGGCUUACUGGACUGAAACUGACGCUGAGUCACGAAAGCGUGGGGAGCGAACAGGAUUAGAUACCCUGGUAGUCCACGCCGUAAACGAUGAGUGCUAGGUGUUGGGGAGAGAUUCUCGGUGCCGCAGCAAACGCAAUAAGCACUCCACCUGGGGAGUACGACCGCAAGGUUGAAGCUCAAAGGAAUUGACGGGGACCCGCACAAGCGGUGGAGCAUGUGGUUUAAUUCGAAGCAACGCGAAGAACCUUACCUAAACUUGACAUACCAGUGACAGAUUAUGUAAUGUAAUUUUCCUUCGGGACAAUGGAUACAGGUGGUGCAUGGUUGUCGUCAGCUCGUGUCGUGAGAUGUUGGGUUAAGUCCCGCAACGAGCGCAACCCCUAUACUUAGUAGCCAGCAUUAAGGAUGGGCACUCUAGGUAGACUGCCGUGGAUAACACGGAGGAAGGUGGGGAUGACGUCAAAUCAUCAUGCCCCUUAUGUUUAGGGCUACACACGUGCUACAAUGGCUGUAACAAAGUGAGGCGAGAUAGUGAUAUGGAGCAAAGCACAGAAAAACAGUCCCAGUUCGGAUUGUAGUCUGCAACUCGACUACAUGAAGAUGGAAUCGCUAGUAAUCGCGAAUCAGAAUGUCGCGGUGAAUACGUUCCCGGGUCU